RNAcentral lists this ribosomal RNA (539 nucleotides) under uncultured bacterium. Its description in RNAcentral is "bacterial SSU rRNA". It matches the Rfam family "Bacterial small subunit ribosomal RNA", at positions 356 to 896 of the family's 1533-position model. The record is from RNAcentral.
GAGGAAUAUUGGUCAAUGGGCGGGAGCCUGAACCAGCCAAGUAGCGUGCAGGAUGACGGCCCUAUGGGUUGUAAACUGCUUUUGUAUGGGGAUAAAGUCAAUCACGUGUGAUUGUCUGCAGGUACCAUACGAAUAAGGACCGGCUAAUUCCGUGCCAGCAGCCGCGGUAAUACGGAAGGUCCGGGCGUUAUCCGGAUUUAUUGGGUUUAAAGGGAGCGUAGGCCGGAGAUUAAGUGUGUUGUGAAAUGUAGACGCUCAACGUCUGACUUGCAGCGCAUACUGGUUUCCUUGAGUACGCACAACGUUGGCGGAAUUCGUCGUGUAGCGGUGAAAUGCUUAGAUAUGACGAAGAACUCCGAUUGCGAAGGCAGCUGACGGGAGCGCAACUGACGCUUAAGCUCGAAGGUGCGGGUAUCGAACAGGAUUAGAUACCCUGGUAGUCCGCACAGUAAACGAUGGAUGCCCGCUGUUGGUACCUGGUAUCAGCGGCUAAGCGAAAGCAUUAAGCAUCCCACCUGGGGAGUACGCCGGCAACGGUG